UCGAUAGCCUCACUAGGGUUUAUUCAUAUGCGUGAGUUUACUUAAUUACAAUAACAUGCAAACAUUGCCACACUGCGGCACGUUAAUCUGAGGUUGAUCGUAUUGAGUAACCUCGGUGUGCGCUUGCAGGACGGCGAGCAAGCAGGAGAUCAUCAAGGCGUACCGGCGCGCGGCGCAGAAGUGGCACCCCGACAGCUACCACGGCGACGAGAAGAAGCUCGCCGAGAAGAAGUUCAUCGACAUCGCCGCCGCCAAAGAGGUGCUGACGGACCCGGAGAAGCGCGCGCAGUUCGACGCGGGCAGCGACCCGCUGGACCCCGAGGCGGCGCGCCAGGCGCCCUUCCACAGCCCCUUCCACCACUUCCAGCACGGCUCGCCCUUCCAGUUCAAGUUCCACUUCAACUAGCGCCCGACGCGCUCGGCCGCGACGCAAAUCGGCAACGUGACGUCCGAUUCCACCGCUCGUACAGUCAGCGUCUAGUUCGUGACACCCAAUGUGGCCAAAUGAGUAGAUAACACAACCUUAUUCUAAAGACGUGUUGCGAAUUUAUUGGCUGCUUUGGAUGUCACGAACUACCUAUUUGAAUUAAUCUUACAUCAAAUUCAAACACAAAAAUAAUGUAACUUUUCAAACAUCUAAUUUUAGUUUAAAAUAAAUAUCUGAAAAUAAAGUGGCGAGCAAUAUUCUGGCGUCAUUUCUAAUUAUGUACUUUAAUUUCACUAAGUCAAGAUAUAAAAUUCAACUAAGUCAAACUACUAAUUUAUUAAAAAAGUCACAAAAUAAUGUCAAGCAGAAAAAUCAAGGUAGAACAAAAGGUUUAAAGAUUAUCUAAAAGGUGUCCUAACUCUGGCGCAAUUUUCCCUUGACGCUAUCUCUGUGACUCCUUAUAAUCGCCAUCAGCUUAAACUCGUAAAAAAUACAAUAACAUCUCUAAAUUUAUAAAUUAAUACAUAGGUACCUACCUAAAUUUUGUUUACAAUUACAUAGUCUGUUUAUGUUUGUAAAUUUGCAAAACUAAAUCUUUUACACGUCUUAAUUUAUGUAGUUUUUUUAUCCUCCAAAAGUAAGACGUAUAAAUCAGAGGCAUUUUACUGUAUAACUAAUUGUGUGAUAUACAAAAUAUUUUCUUAAUCAAAUUAAUUUACUAAUUGAAAUAAAUUAAUGCAUUUGAUCUCCAAAUUCUUUUUAACAAGAUUGUAAACAAUUCGCAUGUUAACGCAAGCCUUACUUAUUGUGGGAGCCAUAGGCAUUAUGUGGGUGUGUGUUACGCAUUAUUCUUGCCAUUGCUUACGAAAGGAUAUCGUAUUGAAAUAACGUUGACAUGCGAGUUGUAAAAGCGUCUUCGCUGCUUGGAAUGUUCACUUAUACUAAUUGUUAUGAAGUACAAAAUUUCAUCGCUUCUUAUCAUAUAACAGGAUUUAAAAAUGCACUAAGUAACCUAAUAGAUAUUUAUUUAAAGCCACACAGUGUGAUCACAAGGAACCAGUACGAGCGGCGACCCUGCCCUCUUCCGAUCGAAUAUCAACGACUUCUCCAGUGCAGGGUCGCCGAUACCUUAAUAGUAAACUUUUUACAAAUUUUCAUCUAGCCUUAUUAGUGAUAUUUUAUAAAAAAAAAUAUAGAUAAAUCAAAUGUUAAUAUAUCUUACAACGGUGCUACGCUUGUUUGUGAAUAUCCGUCUGCAAAUGAGCAAUAUUAAAUUUAGACCCCCUAAGAAUCGCCGUAAGCGCCACUAAAUCUGCCCACAACAUAAGCGUAGCUCCGCUGUAACGGCGCGAAUGAAAAUAUCAGUCUGCAACGGAGUUCGUCAUCUGUCGUGUCACGAUACACAGAGGAGUAAUAUUUUAAUUUGCGCAUUGUUUGCCGCCCGCGUCCCUAUGUACAUAAUAGCACACAUAAUAAUAGGGUAGAUGACAUUAUUCAAUCUAAAAGAGAAAAACCAAAUAUUGCGUGACGAAUAUUAAUAUUAUUCCAUCAAAUCACAAGUAAUUCCAAUCAAGAUCAAUCUAAUUUGGAAUGACAUACAUUAGUGUAAUUUAAACGUUCUGACGUUAUUUAUUAUAAUGAUGACUCAAAAGUGAAUAUAACUAAUUACUGUGAUUUGUUGGAUGGAAA
Ostrinia furnacalis (Asian corn borer) is the source of this 2116-nucleotide long non-coding RNA. RefSeq lists it as uncharacterized. The record is from RefSeq and is a predicted model, not a curated record. NCBI's taxonomy places the organism in Eukaryota, Metazoa, Arthropoda, Insecta, Lepidoptera, Crambidae. The transcript has 2 exons.